RNAcentral lists this ribosomal RNA (616 nucleotides) under uncultured bacterium. RNAcentral describes it as "bacterial SSU rRNA". It matches the Rfam family "Bacterial small subunit ribosomal RNA", at positions 338 to 951 of the family's 1533-position model. The record is from RNAcentral.
CCUACGGGAGGCAGCAGUGGGGAAUUUUGGACAAUGGGCGAAAGCCUGAUCCAGCAAUGCCGCGUGAGUGAAGAAGGCCUUCGGGUUGUAAAGCUCUUUUGUCAGGGAAGAAACGGUGAGAGCUAAUAUCUCUUGCUAAUGACGGUACCUGAAGAAUAAGCACCGGCUAACUACGUGCCAGCAGCCGCGGUAAUACGUAGGGUGCAAGCGUUAAUCGGAAUUACUGGGCGUAAAGCGUGCGCAGGCGGUUUUGAAGUCUGAUGUGAAAUCCCCGGGCUCAACCUGGGAAUUGCAUUGGAGACUGCAAGGCUAGAAUCUGGCAGAGGGGGGUAGAAUUCCACGUGUAGCAGUGAAAUGCGUAGAUAUGUGGAGGAACACCGAUGGCGAAGGCAGCCCCCUGGGUCAAGAUUGACGCUCAUGCACGAAAGCGUGGGGAGCAAACAGGAUUAGAUACCCUGGUAGUCCACGCCCUAAACGAUGUCUACUAGUUGUCGGGUCUUAAUUGACUUGGUAACGCAGCUAACGCGUGAAGUAGACCGCCUGGGGAGUACGGUCGCAAGAUUAAAACUCAAAGGAAUUGACGGCUGAGACAGCGAGGACGACACGAGGGAGGAGG